AAAUUGAAGAGUUUGAUCAUGGCUCAGAUUGAACGCUGGCGGCAGGCCUAACACAUGCAAGUCGAACGGUAACAGGAAGCAGCUUGCUGCUUUGCUGACGAGUGGCGGACGGGUGAGUAAUGUCUGGGAAACUGCCUGAUGGAGGGGGAUAACUACUGGAAACGGUAGCUAAUACCGCAUAACGUCGCAAGACCAAAGAGGGGGACC
This 207-nucleotide ribosomal RNA is filed under the name Escherichia coli. RNAcentral describes it as "partial 16S ribosomal RNA". It matches the Rfam family "Bacterial small subunit ribosomal RNA", at positions 1 to 215 of the family's 1533-position model. RNAcentral also lists the same sequence under 1 other name. Lineage: Bacteria; Pseudomonadati; Pseudomonadota; Gammaproteobacteria; Enterobacterales; Enterobacteriaceae. The record is from RNAcentral.